RNAcentral lists this small RNA (125 nucleotides) under Marmota monax (woodchuck). Lineage: Eukaryota; Metazoa; Chordata; Mammalia; Rodentia; Sciuridae. The record is from RNAcentral.
GCUGGGCACAGUGGCGCACGCCUGUAAUCCCAGUGGCUUUGGAGGCUGAGGCAAGAGGAUUUUGAGUUCAAAAACAGCCUCAGCAAAAGCAAGGUGCUAAGCAACUCAGUGAGACCCUGUCUCUA